AUGAUGCGAAUUAUCUAACACUACUCACAGUUCUUUAUUGUGCUUUAAAGGACUAUCUCUAUUACUGCAUCCUUCCAGCAUUUGUCUCACCAUUCUGGAACUCAUAAGCAUCUAGAAAGAAAAUUAUGCAUAAGAUUCCCAAUUCCAUAAAUGUACUUUGCAUUCAUUUAUUAAUUUUUGAGGCUCUAUAGCUAUUUAUCUUAACUUAUCGAACUAAAUUUUAUAUAUAUAUAUAUAUAUAUAUAUUAUUUUAUUUAUAACUUGUAAUAAAGGUUCUAAUUAUUUACUAAGUAAUAUUUUUAUAAUAAUAAUAAAUACAAUGAUAAUAAUAAUAAUAAUAAUAAUAAUAAUACUAAAAGUUUUAGUUGUUACUACCUAUUAAGGAUAUAACUGAUUUAGGUGUUUCGCCGAAAAUUUGGCAGCAUUUCCCUUAUAAACUGUACUACCCAAUUUUACAUAUUCUACAUUUCAACACACAGCCCAUCUAUCGGACAAUUCACAUUAACUGAUCCCGUCCGCCCUAACCAUCAUUCAUUUGUUCAUUCAAUUCACAUAGCCCAUUCAUCGGGCACAUUCUCAUUUAAGCUAAAUUCCCAUGAUAUAAUUAAUUGUCUUAUAACUAAUUACUUGUCUAUAUCAUAAAUUAUAAUUCUUCCUAACAAUAUUUAUUAAAAUUCCUACAAUUAACUUACAUAACUAUUAACUAGAAAUUUUUAUUUCAAUAUCAACUUUAUUGUUAUAAUUAAUGUUCAUGAAAUAUAUUCAACAAUAUUCAAUUUAAUUUACUUAAAUACUUAAUUAAAUUCAUUAAUAAAUUAAUUAGGGAUUUAUUCAAAAAUUGCGAAUUAAGCUUUAGAGUGUACCGAUUGAAAAUCAGUCUAUGAUUCCGAAAUCUACGCGAAGAGGAGGUCAUUCUGCCUCUUGAAGCCUCGCCGGACCGCCGCCGCCGGCCGCCGUGCAUGAUGGCUAGAAAAUCAAACCUUGAAGCCUCAGGUCGCUGGAAACGAUGUGAAUGGCUGAAAAAGUUGCUACUAUGGCGUCGCACCCUUUCAGUCGAGUUUUCUCUCAAUCCAGGCUCAAAUCGCGCAAACCAAAGCUUGAAUCAAACUCCUUGCGACGAGUAGAUAUUUUUAGAGUAUUUAUUUGCCGCAUUUGGUGACCGACAGCCGGAGAACGAGAAGAAAAGGGGAGGGGGCUUGUUGAGAGAGAAUGGCGAGUCGUUUCUCUUUUUCUUUUUCUUUUUUUUUUCUAGAAUUUUCUAAUUGGUGGAUGGGGUUUGGGUCGAUUCGAGUCUGGUUUAAUUUAAAUCAUGGUUUUAGCUUGAUUUUUCAAUUGAUUUAUGGAUUUUUCAUCUGGUUUUAGAAAAAUUCAAGCUGGUUAACGGGUCCGAUUUUACAACAAUUAAAUAUUUAUUGUAAAUCCUCAUUGGUCGAUUUAAAAAUUUAGUUUUUAAAUGAAAAUUCUAUGAAAUCAAAUAUUCAAGUCGUUUCAAUUAUGUUAGGAUAUUUGUUUAGAUUUCGUAGACAUAUCCAUGUGGAUCCGACAUGUAUUUAUCUUUUAUUACACGUUUUUUGACACCUCAUUAAAAGUGGAACUCACAUCUAUGAAGUCAGCAAUUCAAAAAUAGAAAUCAGCUACAAGCACAUGAUUACAUUUUUAAAAAUAUUUAAACACCCAGUUGAAAUAUUUUCCUAUCCAAAAUCAGCUAAAAAUACCUAAUUGCAUUUUUAAAAACCUUUAAACACCAGUUGAAAUAUUUUUCCACGAGGCACUCAAAUAGAAAAAAUUAAACAAUUCGUGCCCUGAAAUUACCAAUAUCCCAGAAAUAAAACGUGUGGCUUCACCCGGUUCACAUCUGACGUCGCACCAUAAACACGAGCCAACAACUAACCAGCAAUCGCUGGCUCUUCUUUACCCACGUGUCAUUAUUACUCGAUUCCACGUCAUCAUCCCUCCCCCUAUUUGCUUAAAAGUCCACCAUAUGCGCGCUUGUCUUAACUUCCCCAGAAUUCACUUUUACAUCUGUUGGUUUUUGUUUGUUUCCAUGGAAACUAACUUAACAAAUUCCUCAGGAAAAUUCAUUUAAUUUUCCAUCAUGAGGUAAUGAAUAGAGAAAGAGUGAAAUAAAAUUUUGUAAAUCAUGGCGACGCUAUUGAGAAAGGUGUGGGAAUCGGUGUCAAACCGGGCCAGUUCUUGUUCGAGUCCCAGCAUUGACUCGGCGGAUCGACGGAGUUAUUCCGUGUUAUCUUCGCUUGGAGAUUUUGACCGAAUACCAUUAGAUGUAGUGAUGUAUAUUUUGAGAUUGGUUGGGCCAAAGGACGCAGCUAGAUUGAGCGUAGUUUGUGAGUCUUGGAGGUCACUCGUAUCUGAUAAUCGUCUCUGGAUUUACUUUCUCCAGAACUACUGUGAUUCUUCGGACUCUGUUUUCUUCGCGGAAACCAAUCUCCGGUAUCCUUUCCAGUGAGUUUUCCCUCUUCUUUUUGACGUUUAAGCUCUGUUUGACUGCUCAGAAAGUUCAAGAAAAAUGAAACAGCUAGUGGUGUUGUUUAAGCUCUGUUUGAUUGCCCAUCCUGUUGUGCAUGCAACGACUUUUUACUGUUGAAGUAGUGUUUGUUAGUAAACAAAUAGGGGUCUAUAAACAGAAAUCUGCGCUUUCAUGAGGAGAAUUUUGGAGGAAUUAAUUUAAAUCUGAUGCGAAUUGCUGUCGUUUUUUGUUGGAAUUGAACGAUUGAGAGUCCAAUUUCAUAAUUCAUGAAAAGGAAUUCGUGAUUUUACUUGCAGGGCAUAUAGUGGUCAAAUCACUACGGAGUUGUCAUUUAUGCGUAUAUAUGGCGAGCGUGAACAAGUCCCAGGUUGUAUCAUUAUUGAUGGUGAGUUUUAUAGAUAUGCAGGAUCCCUUUUGAAUAUAUUUAAGGUGGAUAAUUAGUGCGAAAUUACUGGAUGUAAAAUCUGAUUCAUAAUGCCAGUUGAGGUUGUUCAAAUUUGGAAAUAUUUUCUUGUUUUAAGUCGUGGACAGUCUUACGUUUAGUAUAUUAAAUCUGUUCAUGCUGCUUCAUUCUGUUCAAAUGCCGUUGAAUAGGUGGUUCGGGCUAUUGCAAGUUUGGUUGGAGCAAAUAUGCUUGUCCUUCUGGGCGUGCAGCAACAUUUUUGGUGAGCUUUUGCUUUUAACUGGCAGUUUAGAGGUUUGUGGAAGCAAUUUCGCCAAAGUUGGGAAAUUUUUGCUGUUCCUACUUCUAUAGUUAAUUAAUGUUUUUGGUUUCACUAUACUAAAUAGAAUUUACCUUUUUUUUUUUUUAAAUUUAAAACCUAUUCUGUGAUCAUCUGUGUGCAGGAAUUUGGUAAUAUUGAAUCUCCAAUGUACUCCAGGCUCCGGCAUUUUUUCGCUACUAUUUAUGGCAGGUAUGUCUUUUUCUUUUUCCUUUUUUUUAUUUUUUUUAAUCAAAUGACUUUUUUCUCUUCAAGAAGUUGUCUGCUGCAUUUAAGUAAUCUACAAUUACAAUGUAGUACAUUCAAAGGUUUAAUAGUGGUUUGUAUUCUUAAGCAUGCUUCUAGCUGAAUCCAUAUAAUUGAAUUAAUUUUUAACUUCUAAUCCCUCAAUCUGUUAAAGCAUACAAGUUUGCUAGCCCUUUGAUAUUCAUUUUUAUUCUUAUAUUGUCUUGAAGCUAAAGAUUUUUACAAUAUCUCCUAACAGGAUGCAGGUAAAAGCAUCAACACAGCCAAUUCUUGUGUCCCUUCCAAUUUGCCAUUAUGAUGGUUAGACUCUUCUUAGCUAAUUUUACUUAUAUGUAUGUAUGUAAAUGGCCCCUUCAGAGAAGUUAUAAAUAUGAUGGUUCGGGCUAGUUCAAUUUAGUCUAAAAAACCAUUAUAUAAAAAUGGCUUUGGGAGGAAUUAUAAGGUGUUACUGAAUGUUGGCAAUUUUAUUAGUUUCUUAUCCAAGUAUGGGGCUUUCAGUUUAAUGUUAAGGCUGUGGCACUGCAAAUACUUCAAACUUUUGAACCUGAAACUUCUUCAGGCGUGAUGGGUGGCUUUUUAUCGUUUCAAUUAGAUAGGGAAAUAGUUAAUCAUAAGCUUUUGAUAUUUCAUUCAAUAAUUAGAUUUAAUCCUCAGAAAUUUCGAAAUGCACUGCCAUUUACUUGCUUAGUUUUGCUUGAUACCAUAUUUCGUUCUGGUAGCAUAAAAUGUAAUAUGCAUUAAAUUUUUUUUUUUUUAAUUAAAAGGACAAGGUUUUCUUCAUGUCAAAAUUUCUAGCAUCCAAUAAAGUUGAAAAGAAUUUCGUAAUCUUUGUUUGGAAAAUGAUUAGAGAAUUUAAACUAUAUGGUUAUGAUGGCCGGAUUUUAUAUUACAUUGUCAUAAUGCAUUACUGAUGGCUUUCUAUCUUUAUAAUUCCAGAUACUGAAUCUGCCAAAGCAUCAAGACGGCAGCUAAAAGAAGCCAUGUACACAGCUCUGUUUGACAUGAAUGCUCCAGCUGUUUGUGCUAUUAAUCAGGUGUGUUGUGUUUGUUUAUCAAUUUAUUCCUGUGUUUCUUACGGCAUCAAUGGCUCUUAUUCUGGGGAAAAGGGUGAAAAGAACCUAUGGUAAACUACUUCAAAGUCUAAUUACCCGGUGAUCAAAUUAAUUACUUUCUUGGCUUCCUCAAUGGUACUGCCAUUCUUUUUAUUGUCUUUUAAUAAGUAAAGCGGGACUUAGAGGGGCACAACUUUGAUUUAGAUUAUGGGUGCUGCCUGUGGUGCAAAGCAGAUCUUAUGGAGUCCCCCAAAAUGACAAUGUUCUUAAAGAAAGAUUAGCAAAUGUCAGAUAAAUUAAUGUGGGAGUACCCAGAAAAAAAGAUAUGACAAAACUUCAAAUUUAUUUUUGUAUCGCUAAAGAAAUCACUUUGUUUAAAUAUAAAGUAAACUUUUUGUUGCCUGAAUGACAAGUUUAACACUCAGGUAUAUUAUCUGGCAUUCACUGUAAAAAAAUAAAAAGGGAAAUACAUUUGGAAUCCAACAUUUUCCCCGAAAUAGUAUUUCAAUGUAGAAAUUUCUACAAUCUGGGAGCUUCUUUCGAGCAGUUUUGUGCUCUGAAAGUUCAUUCCAUAUUGAAUUCUGUGAAAAACCUUUUUUUUUCCUCUUUUUUUUUGUUUUUUUUUUUGAGUUUUGCAUGGCGAAUUUUAAGUUACUUUCUUGUUUCAACAGCAGAGCAAUCAAGAGAUUCUGCUGUUGUCAGUCUUAUUUUGUAUGUUAAUGCAUUAAAUGUUCUACAGGCAACAUUAGCAUUGUAUGCUGCUAGGCGAACUUCAGGAAUUGCUGUUAAUAUUGGUUUCCAAGUCACAUCUAUUGUUCCAAGUAAGUGAUUGUGUUAUUUCCCUCUAAAAUGCUUUCUUCUGGAAAUUUAUUUGAGAUAAAAUGUUACAUCUGGUGAACUUAAAGUUAGCUUUAUUCUUCUAGAUGCUUAACUAUCCUUCUUGUGCAUUUCUUAUCCUAAGACCUUCUCUGCACUUUUAUAUGUGUCUUGUUGUAUAUUCUUUUUGAUUUAUUCAUCUUCAUUCAUUUAUUGAUCCUUCUUUUAUCUAGCAUAUGCAAGUUGUAUUACUCUUCAUGUUUAAAGAUCUAACCUCUUGCAUCUCAAUAAGUCUUCGAGUAUUUCCAUUAACCCUUAUUUAUUGUUUUAGUUGCUCUUUCAUCUUAAACAUUUAUCCUCUAUCAUUUCUGCACAUUACAGUUUUAAAUGGUAAAGUAAUGCGCAAGAUAGGUGUGGAAGUUAUUGGUCUUGGAGCAUUAAAGGUUACAGGAUUUCUUAGAGAACAGAUGCAGCAGAAUAAUAUCAAUUUUGAAUCACUGUACACUGUUCGUACACUGAAAGAGGUACAAAGUUGUAAUGGUUCUUCCUGUAUCCACAAUGUUGUUAUUAAGCUUGGUGAAAUUCUUAUGGUUGCAUAAUUUUCAACCUAAUUCAAAUCGAGAAUUGUCACUUCAUCCUUCAUCUUUUCAUAAAUUCUUUGAAAUUCUAAAUAAUUCUUCAUGUCACAUGGUAAGAUUUGAUGCCAGUUAUUUCCUUUGCGCCAAAAUCAAACUCAAGAGCACAAUUAGUUAAGUGAUUGUAAUCUAUAAAUAAAUUGAAAACAUCACUUUGUACUGCAAAAAAAAAACUUUGAGCGUCUUGUUUGAACAGUCUGCCCCUGUGGGUAUCCCUCAAGUGUAGGUUGAGGUUGUAAAAUUAUCAAGGCAUUGGACUAGCACUGUGAUUUUCAAUCAAUAUGGUCAAAAUUACAUUUAUGCUCUAAGGUCAGUCUCCUAGAGCCUAGGCACAAAGCACAAGCACACAUCUAAAUGAAAGAAAGUUCAUAUUUCUCGUAGAAAUUGAAACAUUCAGUGGAAAACAUCAGAAGAAAUAAAGUAUGAGGGAGGAAGAGAGAGAAAGAAAGAAAGUAAGUGUUUAACCUAUAAGCUUUGUGCAAUUACACAAAUGAUUUAUGCACAAAACCUACAUUAGAGAUUUAAAUUUUAUAAUAUUCAAACAUUAAAUUUUGGAAGAUACAGUUGUGAACAUGCAGCUGUAACCACAAAAUCUUUUGUUUUACCUUCAGCUUUACGCAACGCAUACUUAUUUUCCUCGUUAGAUAUGCAUAGCCAUGAUGGCAAAUGUCAUUAAAUUGGCUUCUAGAAAUGUGGCAUGAAAAUGUUUGUUUUUUCAGGCAGAGGUCCCAUGGAUAUUUAACUAUUUAUACAUUGAAAAGGUUGAUUAAGAUAAAUGCUGACCAAGGAUAGAAACCAGUUGAUGAUAACAUAACGUAAUAGAAAAUUAUAAAUUUUAUUUUUUCAUCUCUUGGUGCAGAAAUGAAGGAUGUGCACUUUCUGUACCUACAAUGUACUUUAGUAAAUGCAUUCUGCAUUCAUGGAUUAGAUAUUCUCCAUUGACUUUGGACACGUCAUGUUUGCUUUUUAGUCAUGCCUGUAUUAUGUUGCACAAAGAUUGGUAGCCGCUGUUCAGAUGUUCUCUGCUGGUUACAUUUCUAGCAACAAUGUCUGUAGAUUUUCCUGGUCCCUGCAUAAAUUUUUAGGCCAUAUAAUAUUGUUAAGAAAAUGGAUCUGUAUAGCAAGCCUCCUAAUGUCAGAUUAAGGCUUACUUGAGUAUUCAAUAUUAUUUAGAAACCGUGUAGAAUAAGUAAUUUUGGAUUUCUUGUAGGCCUCCGACUGAAUUUACCAAGGUAUUGCAUCUCAUAGAUCUUUUUGAUUGCACAUUCUUGACAGAUCAAUUCUUACUUCCCAUUUUAUAUCUCCACCAUUGUGUAGCUCAGAUUGUCGCUAACAAAGUUUUCAUGCAGAAAAAGGAUAAUUUCUUCAUUCAAUAUGCUUUCUGAUGUCCCAAUUAUUCACUUUUAUGAAUGUAUAGGUUGUUCUUCCAUAUUGAUAAGGCAUGAUGGUUGUUGCUUUGCACGAAUUGGGUUCAAAAUUACAAAUUCUCUUCUGUUGUGCAUACUAACAUUGACCUUGUGGAGUAUAAUUUCGUUCUGAUUGAUUUUGUUCUUUCAUAAUGGAAAUACAGAACCUUUGUUAUGUUGCUGCUGAUUAUGAGGCUGAGUUAUCUAGAGACACACAAGCAUCAUUAGAAGUUCAAGGAGAAGGAUGGUUUACCCUUUCAAAAGAACGCUUUAAAACAGGGGAGAUCUUAUUCCAGCCACGUAUUGCGGGAGUGUAAGUCCAUAUAUCCUCACAAACUAACCUUUUAAGAAUACAUUGGAAUUAUAAAUUUGAAUUACAAAAAAAGAUGCUUUAGUAGUGAUAUUAUAUAAAUGCAUAAGUUUUUUCUUUUUUUUACAAAACAACCACCAGUUUACUUUUUGUACAUUAUAUGGCAUGAGAAUCAUAAACCUAAUCCAGUUGGUUAAAACGCUUCAUUUACCUCAUGACACAGUCGUACAAUGGGUUUGCACCAGGCAGUAGCACUUUGCAUGGACCACUGUCAUGCAGCAGAGUUGACUGGUGAUGAUUCUUGGUUUAAGACUGUGGUAUUGUCCGGAGGGACCGCAUGUUUACCCGGACUAGCAGGUAACUAUAAAGGAUAUCAAUCUGUUUCUGCAAGGAAAAAGAAAAAAAAAAAAAAAAGCAAUACAUGUGCAAGCCACAAGCAUAUGAACUUCUUUUUCCUGAUUUGCUUUCAGAGAGGCUAGAGAAGGAACUGCGUGAGCUUCUUCCUGCAUCCAUUAGCAAUGGAAUAAGAGUCAUUCCUCCUCCAUAUGGUGCAGACACUACAUGGUUUGGAGGAAAGCUUAUCAGCAAUGUAAGCUACCUGAACUUAACCACCAAAUUUCUAUAUAUGCAGUACAUUAUGUGUCACAAAAUGGAAGCAAUAAUCCUAUAUUGAAGUUUGCUGAAUAGAACUUAAUUUAAUUCCUAACAACCAUGGCAGUCUAUCAUGAGAUUCAGUCUGGAUAGAGGGGAGAGAAAAUUAAGUAAUGGGGAGGGUUUGAAUUGAAUAGUGGCAGAGAGAAGAAAAUUUGCAGUUGGAUUUGAGGGUAAAAUUAACAUUUCAAAGCUGGAUGCAGUAGUAGGAUACUAGGAUGUUGACAAAAUUAAGGGAUUAGUUAAUCAACUUUUGGAAAUACAGGCCUUGGCUGAUUUAUAUAUGAAUAUCAUCAUUUCUAGCAAUGAUGAUUUGAAGUCUCAAGUAUCUGGGUCAUUUUAUAAUAUGUUCGGCAAAAUUAGCUGUUUUUGUAGCUGUGAGCUGUUUGAAUAGGUUCAAAAGAUAAACGUUACAUUUGUUAACUUUUUAUAAAAUAUUAUCUUAACUUCUAAAAGCUAGUUUUUUUUUUUUUUAGUAAAAUGCUACCUUAAACUUCUAAAAGCUAGUUUUUUUUAUAAAAUGCUACCUUAAACUUCAAAAAGCAAUUCAAAUGUUAUGUUAACAAACAUCAUGUUACGAAACAUUAUAAAAUAUAGCGUUUAGUUUUGACUAAAAGAUAUUUAAAAAGUUGUUGUCAACAUAGUCAACAACUUCAAUGUUUCUUUUCAUUUUGUAUAGUUGAGCACCUUCCCUGGACCAUGGUGUGUGACAAAGAAGCAAUUUAAGCGGAAAUCAAGAUUCAAUCUGGCAUGGUAAAUACAAGCUCUUGCCCAGAAUUCCAUAUGGUAAAAAUUUAUGAAAUUAUAUAUUUAUUUGUUUUAAAAAAAAUUUUUUUCCUAUUUUAUUGAACUGUAUUGUGAACGUUUGGGCUUACAUUCAUUAGAUUAUUUGUAACAAAGUUCAUGUAAUAUUGGUGUAUAAAUUCCCCUGAUAUAAACUUAAAUUGAAUAUAUUGUAAUCAAUUAUAGUUAAAAGCUGUGAACUUGCCGAUUUUCUGGACAAAGUUGGCAAUAUUCAUAACUUUUCCAGUUUUAUCCUCUCCCUCUAGAUUCUUUUGCUGCUUCUCGUUUUUCUGCAAUUCUACAUUCUUCUACCCUUUCUCAUUAGCCAAACAUAUAUCUAAAAUCCCACUUUCAUCGUUUGCUACAUCAAUGACACGUUUUUCUAAUCUCCUGCCGGUUGGAACUGAACAAAAAAGAAGAAGAAAAAUUGAACCGCCAUUUCUCAUUCUGUACAUCGUCUUUGUUAGUAACAGAACAAAUCUUCCCUAUAUCCAUCCUAAAAAAACUUCUCUAUUAAAAAAUGGUAAAUAGGUGAAAUAGAGAAGUAUUAUUUUAUUUUUCAAAACUCAAUCAACAAAUAUGUCUAAUAUUUUAAAUAAUAAAAAAAAAAUGUAUUAUUUUAUAUCCACUUGAAGCUCGAGAGACCAUCUAGUUAUUAUAUAUUUUAAAAUUCAACUACAACACGAGUAUAUUUCAUAAUGAAUUCAUUAAACAUCACGAGUACAUAUUAUAUAAAUUGAGUAAAUUUGUGUAAAGUAUAUUUGAUAAUAAACUCAUUAAACAUCAUAAGAACGUAUUAUAUAAAUUGAAUAAAUUUGUGUAAAGUAACUGUUAAAGGAAAAUAUUAUAAACAGAUGAGUUGUCAAUUUUCUUUUCACAAGUUAUUUCUAUUUUGGAUACAACGGAGGAAAGAAAUUAAAUUUAUUUUCCUUCAUCGGCAAAAUUUUAAGAGUAAAAAAAGAUGUGAUUAUUGAAAAUUGACAAUUAUAACCUGAUUUAUUUUUAAACAAUAAAAUACGAUUCUAGUUAUUUUGAGAUAUUUAAAUAAUUUAAUAAAAAUAAAUGAAAUUCUAUUUUCAUCCAUCAUUUUUCUAUAAAUAAAAGAUAUUUAAAAUAUAUGGAUUCAGGAGAAAAAUAAGUAAAAAAUUUUACUCUUUUUUUCUAAUUAAGGAAAAAGAUUUUUCUCUAAUGGUUUUAGGAGAUUGGUGAGUAGAUAAGUUGUGAGUUAAUAGGAGUCACGAGAAUAUUCCUUUUUUCUAUCACUUUGUUUAGCUCAAUUCAGAGGGUGACUUGCGUUGAAACAAAAAUUAAAGAUAAAUAAUUUUAAAAUGAUAAACUAAUAUUUCACGAUCAAAUUAAAAUGUCAGCAUAAUUUACCUUACAAAUAUUUAAAAAAAAAAAAAAUUUACCCGACAAAUAUUAAAAAAAAAAAAAAUUUACCCGACAUAUUGGCUUCUAUUCCAAUUUUUUACUGUGAUUAAAAUAAACAACUAAAUGAUUUAAAUAUUUCAAAAAGAUGAAUGACUUAAGUUAUAAAAAAGAAGAGUCUUUAAUCUAAUUAAGAAUUAUCAUUUAUUUGAUAUAAUUAUCCUUUAAACCGCAAAAUCUAGCCGCCGAAACGGAGCAUGAUACUUACUGUUCUUGACUUACCCACAAUGAAUCAAGUCGUCUAACGUCAGGUUAUUAAUUUUUUAAUUAAUUUCAGUAUUAGGAAGUAGAAAAUGAAAGAAAGAAGCAAGCAGCUAUGCCUACCCAUUAAGGGUAUGGCCCAGUUUUCGCGUAAUUUGCUGUAGCCCACUUCUCAUCAUACACUGCUGUAAUUAUCUGUAUUAUUCUAUUCUAUUUUAUUUAGUUUCUUUCUGUUUGUUUUUCUUUGUCCGACUCUUUCUUUCUUUCUAGAUCUUUAAAGCUUCAAGCUUUCUGUUUUUUUCAGAAGAAAGAUCUUAUAUUUUGAACCCAGAAAGUAAAAAUCUUUAUACAAGGAGGGAUAGAUAGAUCUCUCCCCCUUACAUAUCAAGAUGGAUUUGACAAAGUGUUCUGCCAUUUUCAUGUUUCUUCUGUUUGUGUUUCUUUUUGCUCCUCCUUCUUCUGCUUCCAGUUUCAUUUCAGGUACUUUAAGUUUAGUAAACGUGUGUGUUCUAGUAUAUGGGUUUUGAUUGUGCCUGUUAGUUGAAUUUUUUUUAUCUUUUUGGAAAAGGGUUUAAUGGUAUUGUUUAUCUGUUAUUGACUUGGAUCCAGAUUCUGUUUUUGAAUCCCAUGCUUCUACUGCCAGGAAUCUACUUCAGGCUAAGAAAGGUUUUCGUCUUCUUCCUUUCUUCUUAUCACAUUCUUUGCUUAUUACAAUUUUUCUAAUAAUUUUGGAAGAGGGUGUGCAAGGAAGGAAUUCAGACCCUAAUCUUUGGCUUCUUUUAUGGGUUUUGUUCAUAUUGCAUUCUUUUGCAGUCUAAUUGCUUCAUUUUUUUACUGACUCUAUGCUUUUUUUUUCUGUUACGAAAUUAUUUUCUUAAGAGCAGAUUCAAUUUUGUGAGUUUCUGGAUAAUUCGUCAUGAGGUUGCUGGAAGUUUUUAUAUAUAUAGUCUCCUCCAUGGUUUCCAUUUUGCAUUAACAAUGAGAGUUCCUUGUCCCGUUUUAUUCUGUUGAUCCACUUCUAUUGUAGUGUAAAAUUAAUUGAUUUUGACUUAAAGCAGCAAUCAUGCAAAUAGUGAUAUCUAAUCAGUUGCUUGCUGAUCUCGGGCAGUUUUUUCUUUGUUGUUCAGUUAGCAUGAUAAACUUUUGUGGGUUGGGUAUUUAUCGAGAGAAAAGUAACUUUUGUUUUUUGGUAGUUCACAUCUUCAUCCACUUUGUAUAGAGGUGGUGGUGGUGGUGGAAGGGGGGAGAGAGAGAUAAGGUCUUCUCUCUUGAGAUUGAGGUGUUCAGUGUCUGUUCCUUGUUUUUAUUUUCUCUCCUCUAAAAGCUAGAGCCACAGAAAAAUUUUAGUUAAAAUGAGUUACUGCCUUUUGAUUUUGUGCAUAUUAUAAGCCAAUUUGGGUUUACUAAAAGCUCUUGUAAAAAAAUAUGAUUUGCUUUAAAGAGACUUCAUUUUCAGCAUUGUUCAUCAACACAACAGCAUUAUGUGUUUGUGGGCAAAUUGUUUGGCUCCCAAAUUUCCGUGCUAUAUUGUUUGAAAUUUAGGGCUUAUUUGAAUUAUGAGGAUUUUAAAUGCAGAGAGUUAUGAAUUUGAAAUUAUGUUGUUUUAUGAUUUUUUGCUUGAAAUACAAUUCAAUUCCAUUUUCAUUUAAAAUGCAUAUAUAUCCAAAUGAACCCUAACAUGCUUGCAUUAGUUUGAAUUGCAUACCAAUUAGUUUCAAUUGGAAGUCAGCCCUUUACUUGUGGACCUCAUUAUGAAGUUACAUUGUCAAUUCUUAAGAUUUUUAUAUUCAUAAUAUAUCUAGUAAAAAUUCAAAUAUAGUAUGUAUGUUUGCUCAUUGAGAGAACACCUCUUCAUUGGUUACAUGACUAGGUAAAGUGACCACAAAGAGAUUCAUGUGAUGUUUGAUAACUGAAAUUAUACUUUGGGCCUGUGUUAAUGCAUCGUUUGGCCACUUGCGGAGAUAAAAACAUGUGGUAAUCUAUGAGAUUUUUGCAAAUUUGUGAAGGAGAUCUUUCAACAAUAGGAGGGAUUCAAAAUGGCCAAUUGAGGAAAGUUAGAUGAUCAUAAGAUAACAAAUCGUUACUGCAGGCCAUAAGACUGGAAUACCCAACUUUUUCUCUGAUAUUCAUUUAUGGUGAUAAUGAUCAUUAAAUGUUUCAGGUUGACUGAUUACUCUUAUUGUGUGCCAUUAGUUGGGAAAUUUUGGACUUUGGUAUUUCAAAAUUUUUUAUUAAUAUAUCAAUGAUUUUAAAAUUCCCCUUCAAAAUUUUUUCUGACAGGAUUCAUAUAGCUGACCCCAAUUGGUUUGGGCUGAGGCAUGGUUGGUGUUGUUGUUUGGACUUUGGUGGCCACCUUCAUUUAUUUUAUCAUGCCAUGUGCGGCUAUAAAUAGUUAUAUAGGAUGGUGCUCAAAAUGCACUAGGUAGAGAGCAUUGGACUAAGCAAAUCAAGUGGCUUAGUAGAGAGAAAGAGGGAGGAAGAGGAGAGGAGUUUGUGAGAUACUGCACCAUGUGUAUGCAAGAGGAUAAAAUAAAAUAGUAUUUCAGCCUUGUAAUUAGUGGUAUUACUGGGUAUCUUGGCUAUGGUAGUUUUGUAUCUUCAUUAUCUAAUUAGUGAAGAUAUUUUUCAGAGUGUCUCAUGGUUUUCCCUUUAAUUAUUUCUCAUUUUGUGAUCUUAUUAUUCUCUACUUGGUCGUGUCCUACUAGCCACAUACAAGAGGGAGAAGUAUGGUAAGUACACCCUGAUUUUCCAACAUCAUCUACAUUACAUUGGUUAAAUUCGAAAGUUAGUGCGAUUAUGAAAGAGAAGAAAGUUGAUUACAGUCUCCAAUCUGUGCUGAAAAUUUUAAAAACGUGAUCUGUGCUUUUGCACACAUUGAUCAGAUGCCUCUCUUUUCAUUCAGGCCAGCAGUUCUGCUCUGGGUUUCAUAGUAGUAGGUUACCUAUCUACAUAUGCAAAUGACGGCUGGUUGAUCUACAUCUAUUCAUUUUGAUAAAAUAUUUGAUCUUGAGCCCUGGAGUGCUGGUGCAUUUUUGUGAUAUAACUAAACACACACACACCCAUGUAUAUACAUAUUGAUUAAUUGGCUCUGAUUAGGUUUCAGACUCACAACCAUUGAACUUUUAAAAUUCAGUGGUCUUAGAAAUAUAUUUAAGACUGCUGAUUUCCCGUCUUCCAUUUUUAGUUGUAACUUGCAAUUCCAUUUCAGAUUUUUAUGUGCUGUGUUCUUCUAUUUGGAAUAGCAUUCUGAUGUGAAGUUAUUGUCUUUGCGCAGCCUGCCCAGUAAACUUUGAGUUUAUGAACUAUACAAUCAUCACAAGCCGAUGUAAAGGACCUGAUUAUCUUCCUAGUAGCUGCUGUGCUGCAUUCAAGGAUUUUGCGUGUCCUUAUGCCGAUGUCAUUAAUGACUUGACCAGUGAUUGUGCAUCAACCAUGUUUAGCUACAUUAACCUCUACGGGAAAUACCCGCCUGGUCUUUUCGCUAGCGAAUGCAGGGAAGGAAAACUGGGUCUUGAAUGCCCUGCAAACCCACCAUCACAAUCGGCUAAUGAUAGUGGCAGUCAGAUUAUUCGAGAUCCAUCCCUAUUGUUGAUACUCACAUCUGGUUUCCUAGCACUGUUAGUUCACUUGUUUUGAAGGCUCAAGAAAUGAAUCUAUUAUUUUUCACCAGUAAUUGUUUAUUAACCAUGAUAGAGCUACAAUACCCUUCUUUCUAUUUGAUUGUGUUACAGUUAAAAUUAUUCAUUACUCGUACAUACCAAAAAAAUUAUUUGUAUAUUGGUUUGUUAUUUGCUACCCCAAAGUAGUAGGGAUUAGAAUUUGAUAGACCUAUAAGUACUUAAAAUUUUAAAUUUAAGGGCUCCGGUUUUAUUUGUUGAACUUCUUACAUUUGUAAUGUCAUUAUUAUAUUCUUGUAUAUUUGAGUAUGGUCUGUUUAGCUGUAAAUAAAUGAUAGAGCAUCGUUCUAUCAUUUUUUGCCUCUCAAGUCUGGAUAUGAAUCAAAACUAGCGAGUUUGCUAUCUGCCUGUGCACAUUUGGGCGCGCUAAGUCAAGAAAGAAUAAAAUUGAAAAAAAGUUCAUUAAUUAUUCAAAACCUGACGUUGUUCAUAUAUUUAUUGAUAAAGGGAGUCUAAUUUAAUAUUUAUUGACAGAGGGAAUACAGAACUAGGGCUACGAUGGUAAGUAACGACUUGAAUGGUACUCUCAUUGAUAUGUAUGCAAUUUGUAUUUUUUUGGAAAGUUAUAAUUAUUGGAAAACCCAAAGGCAUUCAUUAGAUGCUCCUUAUAGAUAUUAAUAUUGUUGUGUUUCAAUAGGAGAUGAAGCUAGUGGUGAUUGCUGGCGCCAUAGGACCAUAGGGUUGGUUGUAUACUCAUCUUCCAGAGUUUAACUUUCUGCAGAUUUUUUCUAUUAAAGUUGUCUUUUGAUAACUUUUUGUUUAAAAAAAUGGGCUAUUGAUAUGAUAUUUAAUUUUACAUAAAAAAAUAAAAUAGAUGUUCAAUAGUUUUUUGUUCUGUUUAUUUUGUGGAAGACAGAGUUCAUUAAAGUAAAUAUCAUGAGCAAGGAAGUGACUUUAUUACUGGAGACAAAAUUUAACUUGAUCAAAAAAAUAAAGGGAAGAAGAAAAAAGUAUAUAAAUAUAUAUAUAUAUAUUUAAAUAUGCUUCGGUUAUAACGCAUUUCAUUUACUCUCUUUUGUUGUUCUUUUCUCUACACUGUUAAGAAACUCUAAGUUCAGAACUAGUUACUUCUCAGCUAACUGUAACUUCUGUAAGUACCAACUGUAAGAGGAGACUAAAAGAUUUGAAGGAAAAAGGAUUGACAGAAAGGGAAAGAGAGGGAGAAGAGCAGCAGUCAUCCACCUCAUGUUAGGGAAAAAAAAAAAAAAAAAAAAAAAACGAAAAGUGCUUCAGCUAACUGUAACUUCUGUAAGUACCAACUGUAAGAGGAGACUAAAAGAUUUGAAGGAAAAAGGAUUGACAGAAAGGGAAAGAGAGGGAGAAGAGCAGCAGUCAUCCACCUCAUGUUAGGGAAAAAAAAAAAAAAAUGGUUGUAUCUGCCCCUGCUUCUUCAGAAAAGUAUUAUUGUGACAUUGAUGCUCUCGCCGUUCCAAUCUGUGCAAAUCCAUCUCUUGUUAUCCCCAAUUUCUAGCUAGUACCAUUGUUAUACUUCAGGUACUCAACAGAACAAUCUUCUUUGCUGCAAGAAGAAUCUAUAUCAGUGUUACAUUCACCAAGGAAAAUAAUUUAGAAAGAACACUACAGAUGUGAACAUUUUGCAGGUUUGGCUGUUGGCUUCAAUUUCUGAAGCAAUUCUGUUAUGAAUUCAUUUCUGAAGAAAAUUGAAUAUUUUGAUAAUGAUGACUUACUCCUUUAGUGGGAUUUAAAAUAUUUGAACUAUGAGUUACACUUAAUAUGAUAUAAGGCAAUCACAGAUUUAUUUAUUCAUUCAUUUUGAGAAUGAAGGCAAACAGAGAUGUUGAAAAUGAGGGUUUAGAUCAUAUCAAUUAAAGACCUGGGAUAUAGUAACCUCAAUAUGGGCUAAGGAAGUCUCAAAACUCACAUCACUCAAGUUUUUGUCAAAUUCACUGGUAAGAACCUCCAUUUCAAAGUUACACUAUUUAGUCUUUAUAUUAUAAUUCCGUCAUACUACAACGUCCAAUUAUUAACUUUUUCCAUUAGAUGGUUAUGAAAUAUCAAAAAUACAUUUAAGGAUAAUUAUUAUAUAAGGACUAAAUAAUGUAAAAUUAUGAAAAUUGAGUUUCUUACUAGUGUAUUUAACCAAACCGUAACUAUAUGCUAAUUAUCUUUAGAGAUACUUUUGACAUUCCACAAUCACUUAACAAAAAAAAAACUAACAGUUGGACCUUAUAGUCUAACGGAAUUAUAAUGCAAGAACUACAUAGUGUAAUUUUGAAACUGAGGUUCUUACUAGUGUAUUUGAGCAAAACCUAGGGACUACAUGGUAAUUACCCCUACUCUUAUUGAGGUGUGAAAUUUACUAUGGAUAUGAUUCAAUAAUAGAUACUUACACGACAUCUAGAUUCUCGUAAAUUGUCCAGCGAUUCAGCAAUCUCAAGUUGCUUUACAACUGCAGCUUGUACUAACUGCACAAACAGCAUAAUUAUAGAUAACAUGACCAUUUGUAUCAAAUGUCACACUUUCAGAAGUCUAAAGCUUUUAAAAAUAAGUAGAAUGAAGCAUACCCUCUUUGUUUUCUCAAGAUCAAACUCCACAGACUUUAUCCUCUCUAGAGAUUCCAUGAGCAUUUGCUCUUUUUCCAAUGGGAUUGCACCAGGCUUGUUGCUAAGUUGUUCAAAUACUUUCUCCAGCCUCUGUAGACGCUCCAUACAUGGACGGACACACUCUUCAUUCAGAGUUUCAACAGCUGAUGAAUGACUAUCAGCAUUAUGUUCCAUAAGAUUAGAGGGAUGAACGUUGCUCUGCCUCUUCCAAAAUUCAAAUGGUAAACUAUGGAAAAAAGCAAUUAGUUUGACCACAAAUGACAUCAGCAGUCUAGCCCCACAUAGAUUAUGUCUCUUCCCAAUCUUUUCCUUGAUAAGGUCCAACCAACGCAUAAUGAGACCCCCUGAAAUUGGAGUGCAAGGCAUGAAUUUUGUGAUCCAAGUUGCAAAGAUGACAAUAUGACACAGCAAUAAUAUAGGUCAGAAUCCAUAGAAGCAAGAACUGUGCCUAAAAGUCAAUUUCUAACAAUCUUCGCAAUCUUACUGAGUUAGCAACAAACUUCAUUGGAUAUGAGAAUGCUAGACGAAAAAACCUAUAUCAUUAACACGUACCUUCCAGAUUUGAUGUCGUCUGAUCGGGAAAGCUCGUCAGAUCACUGGUGUUAAGUAAUUGAUUGUCAGAAUGUUCCACUCCCAGAUUGCUUUGGGUAGUCUUCUCAACCAAAGGAAAACUAUCAUCACAACUGUAGUAGGCAUUUGGAUCUGUUGCUCUGACCUUCAAAGAUCAUAUUAUACAUACAAAAUUAUAACAAAAUCUGUACACACAAGUGUGAGCAGACAAUCCUGACAGUGAAUUUGAAUCACGAGUGACAACUUACUUCCUCAUGAACGGGGGCCAAACGUGGAAAUGUAGAACUCCAAUGGACUGGAGAUGGAUCAUCAAUAUCAGACCCUGAUUCUGCUGCCAACGUAUCACUACUUCUUCCCUAACGAACAAAGAAUAAUAUCAAAUAUCCAAAGAUAAGACAUACUAGUACCCAAAUAUGUGAGUUAUGGACGUGCCUUCUGAGGGCGUAUCUGAAUAUGUGAGUCCAAUUUAUGUUGGUCACUGGACAUUCUAGUGAUUUGCCUCACAAACUUUGCUCCCGCAUUAUGUACAAGCUACAAAAUGUAAAAAAUUGUUAGAGAAGUGACACUUAGGCUGUCCUUGUGUUUCUGGUAUUCUGCUUUCUUGUAGACUUGAACUAAAUGAUGGCAGCAAACUAAAGAUUUUGGAUUAGCUUAACUUAAGUUGUAAGUUAUAAGAAUUAGGUUGAAAGUAAGUUACAUCUUUUGUAUAAUACCCUUAUUGUUGAACAAAAAUUAGUUUGCGUUUUCUUCAGUCAAUAUUCUAAUCUUUUCUUUCCUCUACCAUUUUUUCCAACAGAAAUUGGUUAAUUUCCAAAUACAAGUUCAACUUAAAGAUACAAGAUCUCCCUUUAAUACUCAAGAAAUUUACCAUGUAAAAUAAAUGGCCAAAUACUUUAAUUAUUGGUUACCAACCUUCAUCACAUCAGGAUCAUUCCAAGGACCUUUAUUUGAUCUAAGACACCCUCCUUCAGCAUAACAAGUGCAAGAACCACCCAAAAAGUCUGGCAAUUGACUGAAAAGGAAAGAAAGGCAAGAAGUUAUGCAUGUUACAGAAAAAAAAAACGUGAAAAUGAGUUAACAGAAAAUAGACAUACCUUGCAUCAAUAACUUCCAGUAGCUUGGGCAGGGACUUGGGAUCCAGAACCUGUGAUAUAAGAAAUCAUUUGCAGUUAAUAAAGACUGGGAAAGGUCAAUUAACUAUAUGCUUGUGAUCAAAUCCUCCACCUGUAUCUUUGCAAUAGUCUUUGCAUCUAGAAGUUUCUGAGCUGCAGGCCAAAGCAUCUUCUUAAAGGCAGGACCAGCAUUAACAAUAUACAUCCUAUGCAAUGUCUGUGGAAGUUGUGGUUAACAUUCGGAAACCAAUUAAACAGAGUUUGGAAACAUUUUCUAGAAACCUUUAAUACCUCAGGGUAAUAACUAUUAUCUAUCUUUGUCAUUGCAGCCAAAAGAUUUGCAGCAGUCCGUGUGAAAUUCUUGAUGCCCUGUUUUAACAUAACAUCAAUGACCAGUUCAAAUUCUGCAUGGGACCCAUUGCAAGAACCAUAAAUGACCAGUCACCAAUAAAUGAAGAAAAUUUAUCAACAUUCUACUAAUUCACUUGAUUUCCUUAUCCUUUACCAACGCUAUUGACCUUAUAAGAAUGAUCACAAAACUCUACAGUGAGACUCUUGCAGAACUUGAAAAUGAGAGUUCAGAAUUCAAUGAACUUAGACAGUUGAUUCUCUUAUCCUUUCCCAAUUCCAUUGACUCCAUAAAUAGUGAUCCAAGAAACUUGCAAAAUGAGACUACUUUACUAGAGAAAUAAACUAGAUUCAGAAUUUUAUUAUACCAGAUUUCAGAAUUCACUUAGCUCUUCAAAGUUUAUGAAGGAGCAGGAAUAGUUUACCUAUAAUUUUCUGGGUGUCAAAUUCCAUACAAUAGUAGCAAGAAUUCUAUUAUAAGAUUCUAUAGUUACCAAAUUCAAUUUGAAAAGGCAUAUCUAGGAUGCAAUUCAACAUACCAAGCCAUGUACAUCCAAUAUCGUUGUCGUUGAACAUAUCUGUCUCCUUGCAGCAAUAGAACAUGCAGGGAAUUUCUCCAGCAGAGCCCUCUCAAACUCUUGAACAUGGUACUUCAAAUAUCGAUCUACAGUAGUGAUUCGCAUCAGCUUACUUGGAUGAGCUUUUCCAAGCAUUUCAAUGUAAACUGGCCGGCCUUCCUUGUCAACUCCAUGGUAACCCUGAGGGUAAUAUUGCAAAACCUCUUCCAGCUCUUCAAACUCAAAAUCCUAAGCAUUAAGUUUUGCUUCAGCAUGCAGCUAGAGUUGAAUGACAAAAGAACUAAAAAAUUUGUAAUUCUCACAGGAACAAUUUCUACUGUAUAGGACUAUGCGUAACCAUCAGGUCAAAUGCUACAAAUGUGCUCCCAAUUAGAAUUUACCUACUGCUGCAGCUCCAAGUUUGUAUUGAGAAAUAUUUCCAUCUACAUUGAGGAAAUAUUCUAGAAAUAACCUUCUCCUUAUAAAGAGUAAAUUUCUACAUGCUAACUCGUAAGUGAAGCAAGAAGAACAAAGUUAGAGGCAUAAACUUCAAUACCUCCAAUAUAGUGUCUGUUCCAUACUCUUUCCUCCAAUUAAGCAUUUCUUCCCACAUCUGGAUUGUUCUUUCUAUGUUAAACUCUCUAGCUUUCAAAAAUCUACAAAGAGUAAAAUAAUUUUAUCAAUAAGUGAAUGCACGAUGGGCCAUUUGUACUGUCCAACCGCCAGGUAAAGCAGUGGGCCUCCUUCAUGAUGGAUUUACACUACAUGUCAAAAAAAAUGGCAGACUGACCUUAGCAAAGUAUGAUACUCAUCGUGCCUAGGAGGCAACAAAUCCCUUUCAAGAAGCUUUUGUCGCAAUUCUAAUACAGCACUCUCCUCCUUUUCAUCCCUUAUAUCCUCAAUAGAAACUGAAGAAACUCUAUAAUCAAUUUUCCUUUUUCCUCUUUUCUUAAGAGAAUGAGUGAACUUAUUUGAAGCAUUUAAUGCCUUCUUCUUGAGAGUGCCAAUUUUCGAUCUCCUUCUCUCAUCUUCAGAAUUCUCAAAAUCAGAUCUCCUCUCUCUGAUUUCAUCAUUGAACCCAUUUCCUUCUAGGCCUUCAAUAAGACAAUGAGUAGUUAAAAACCAAUAAUUAUUAGUCUAAGAUUAUCUUAAGCAUCAUACCCAAGUUAUGCAUUCCAUAACUAACACUUCAAGGAUCAAUCCUAUGAAAGCUAAACUUACCUGACAUUUGUGUGAAAUGUGGACGGAAACCCUAAUUUCCUGAGGAGGGAAGUAGAUUCACAGUAACCUUGCAGACAUAUGUGCAGGUCUUAACUGUCACAAAGAAAACCAGAAAGUAAUAAUCAAUACGCUGAAGACUUACAAAGAAGAAAAAGUGCCAGCAAGACUGAUAAAUUCUAUCCACCAAACGACUGUCCUCAGAAUUUUUACUGAAAAACGUAAAAUACAUAAAACCAAUUACCAAUCUAAAUUGAGAAAUAUAUGUACACCGAAGCUCUCUAGACUAUCAUCUCUCACAACUCUCUCGCACGAUAAGCAAUCUCUAAAAUCAACUUAAACAAAUACAAUCUUAAUAUCUUGAAGAUAAUAUCUGAAAAAUAAAAGGAUCUGUACUAGCUAAAUCUUGAAAAAAAAUGGAAAAGAGUAAUUCAAAAUUUAUCCGUUUCUCACCAUUUAAACAUACCAAGAAAAAUUUCAGGACUUUAUUCCAAACUCAGUUAACCAGUGAUGCUGUGAAGUCUAAAGAAAUAAAGGGUUACACUAGUUCAUUGAUCAUGUAAUAAACCCAUCAUCAAAACCUCGAAAGAAAGAACCAUAAUGAGCUCUAAAACUCAUAAAUUUGAGAGAAAAAAAAGUAAAAAACCGUUACAAUCAGAGGUACAUAAAACCAUCACUUGUCACAUUUAUACCACUGUAAAGCUCUCAAACCUGAGACCGCAUUAAAUCUCACCAAUGCCGACACUCACAGUACGGAUCUCACCCAUAACUUCACCAUUAAUGAAACCAAAAGAAAGAUAAGAGCAACUUUAAUAGCUUAUUCAAUGAUAACCCGAAACGCACCGAAUAAAAAAAAAAACUCCAAAUGAAUCUGAAGAGGUAAACCUACACGCAUGGAUUCACGCGCGAAGAAGACGAAGACGAAGAAGAAGAGAAGUAAAGCAAAACAGGUAAAGGUAGAAUUUCUCUCGAGAAACACGGAGAGGAGAGGAGAGGAGAGAAAAAAAAUUUUUCUUUUCUCGAGAAAAUUUAAUUUUCUCGAGAAAAGGAAUGAAAAACAAAAACAAAAAAAGGACGGAUCUGAAAUUAUUGUGUUUGUGUUUGUUAUGUUUCUCCUCUGUUCUCCUUCUUUCUCUUCUCUGUUACUUUCCUUUGGUUUGGAGUUUGUUUGUUCGCUUUUUUGGUUUCUCUCUAAAAAAUUAAAUAAAAAAUUAUUUAUUUAUUUGAGUAUUAAAUACUGUCUGUUUCUUUUAUUAAUAAUUUAUAAUAUGCUUUGCUUUUUCAGCCUAUUUAUUCACCGCUGGUCUCAUGUGGUUCUCUGCUUUACGUGUCGUCUUGUUGAUUAAUUAAUUGUCUGAGUUAACUUUUAAAAUUAAAAAUAAAUUAACUUGAAAGUUAUUAGUAAAUUUUUAAUUUUUAAAAAUAAACUAUAUAUUUUUAAUGUAGCAUAGUUAUUUUGAGCCAUAUAUACCAAUAUUAUUGUAAAAUUUUAUUUAAUAUAUAUCAUUAUUAUUGUUAAUAAAUUAAAUCAAAUCAACUAUAGAAUUAAAAUAAUUUUUUUAGCAAAAAAUAAAUAAAUUUUUACUUGUAAAUUAUAAUAUAAAAAUCGUUGUUUAAAAGAUUAUUUGAUAAUAUUUGCUUUUAAUACGGUGGCUAAAGAUAUAAGUUAAAGGAAAUUCUUUUGUUGUUAAUUAUAAUAAAACUGUACGAAAUUGUAAUAUCUAGAAUAGUUUAUUCUUGUUCUAAAUUAUAAUGGACUAGUUAUAUAUCCACAGACAGAAUACAAGGAUUAUAUAAUUUUAUUUAUUUAAAUGGAAUAAUUUUAUAUUUGUGUUUAUUUAAUUUAAAUAAUUUGAUCAAAUAAUAGAGAUAAAAUUAUUAUUUUUUUUAAUUUCCAAACAAUAAAUUGAAAUAUUUAUCACCACAAUAAAAUAAUUAUAAUUCAACUGAUAUAAUUAUUUAUUUAUUAAAAUUUUAUAUACUCAAUUGAAAUGCUUGUUGAUUUAUUAUUUUUAUAAUUGAAUAAGGUAUAGCAAAAUUUAUUUUUAAUACCAAAAAUUCGAAUGAAUUGAAAUUAUAUUUUAAUUUCAUGAAUUAACCGUAUUAUUACAACUGUGUUCUUUAAUUAAUGUUUAUUAAUUAUAACUCCAUUAGAUUCUAUUAGUUUGUAAUCACAAUAUUUUAGAAAAAAAAUUUAAUAUUUAUGAAAUGUUAACUCCAUUAGAUUUCAUUUGUUUGUAACUCCAUUAUUUAAUAAAAAAAACUUAAUGUUUAUUAGAUGCAAAGAAAAAAAAAAGACUAAUUAAAACGAAAAGAAAUAUUUAAAAGAAAAAUUAACAAUUCAUUAAUAAUGAAUAAAGUUUGAGUACAUCAUAAUAUUUUUAUAGGAAUAAUAAAUACAAAUAUAAAAAAUUAAAAUCUUCUGUUUAGAUAUGUUUUUGAUCUUCGCAUAAAAAAUUAAUCUUCCAGGUAAAAAUUGAUUCAUUUUUAAAUAGGAUGAUAAAAUAAACUUUCCAUAAUAUUGUCUCGAAUAUUAUUUUUUCAGAAAUUUAUUACAAUUGACACGCACAGAAGCGUUUAAUUUACUAAAUUUUAAUUGAGAAAUAUGUCAUACUAUCAGAUUUAUUGGUAAAAGAAAUUUAUCCGAACUUGAAGAUCUGAAGUUUUCAACUACAAGUAACCAAUAAUCCAUCUUAUAUUUCGAACCGUCAUAAAAACAAAAAAUCGACGUAAAAUUCUUCAAUAUAAAAAAGAGAAAGCCAGAGAGACACGACUAGAGUUUACAGGGGCAUUUGUUUAAAAAAAAAAAAUGUUACAUUAUCCCAUUAACAAUGCAUCAUCGCUUUCAUAAUCUAAUACGGUGUCUCGUCAUCGUCAAUGCUUUGUAUAUAUUUAUAUAAACCUUCAUUGUUAAUUACAAAAUAAAAUUGCAAGUUACUAACGAGUGAUUUUUUUUUUUUUUAGAUAAUAUUUAACCAUAAAUUUUUUUUUCGAGCUUUGAGUCACAUUUAAUUAUAGUAGCUCAUCGUACUUAUAAAAGUUAAUGUAUUUAUAUUAUAAUUUUUGUCAUUUUAUUUAUUUUUACAAAUUCACUCAUUAAGUUUUUCAUAUUCCAUCCUUCUAAAUUUUUUUUUUAAAAUAUAAUAGAAUAUGAAAUUAUAUAAAUAUAACUUUUUUUUUAUGGCUUGCUCCAAAUCAUUGUCUUAUUUCUCCUUUUAAAAUAAAAUAAUCUCUGUAGUUUUUUAUAUUAUUAUUUAAUAUUCAUUUAUAUGAUUCUAUCAUAAAUAUAUUAUUAUUAUUACCAUCAAUGAAAUAUUAAAAAUGCGAAUUAGACGGUGAUUUGAUUGGUUUUCUUACGUAAGUGAGAAGUGGGAAGUCUCGACUUCGAGUCCUCUCGAUCACAGUUAUUUUCACUAAUUUAGUUAGUCAAAGGGAAUGCUAGUUAUAUACAUUUUGUGUUAGUGAAGGAGUUUGGGUUAAUAGUAUGAACAAUCUCUAUUAUUAUUUUUAAUAUUUUUAAAUUAUUUCUUUAAUUGAUAAUAAAUAAUAUUUAAAAAUCAAUUUUUUUGAUAUAUGAAUUUAAAAAAAAAAGAAUAUAAUUAUAUGAUAAAAAAAUGUUACAAUUUCUAAUAGUUUUGGAGUCAAAUAAAUUGAUAGUAGCUUUUAUAAUUUUUUAUAUUUUAUUUUUUCAAAAAAAAAAAAAGAGUUCAUGCAUCAAAUAAUUAAUUUUUAAAUAUUACUUAUUAUCAAUAAAAGAAAGAAUUUAAAAAUAUUAAAAAUAAUAAUAGAGAUUGCUCUUACUGUUAACCUAAAUUUUCCCAUUUACACAAAUGUAUUAAGUUAAUCUAAGUCCAAGAUCAAGAGUUAAUCUAUUUUUUAUUUACAAUUUAAGUCUUAAAACAAAAUAUCAAAGUUCACAGUGAAAUUAGUAUAAGAGACAAAUUGGAGUGAAAUUGUAAUAAAAAUUUAAAGUUCUAAGUGAAAUUUGUAUAAAGGUCAAAUUAUAAUGAAAUUAUAAUAAAACUUAAAAUUAAGGGUGAAACAAUAUAUUAAGCUAAUUAAAAUAUACGACAUAAUAGAUAACAAAAAUAGGAUAAUGAACUUGAUAAAAUAUAUGAAUUUUUUAAAAUAAAGGACUAAACAAACUCCUUAGAGAUUUACCAAACAAGGCUCUAAGAUUAAGAGGCUAAAUAAAGAAAAAAACAUUAUUUGGAAAAUAAAUCUAUAAAAAGAAAAAAUUGGAGCUAGUGCUCCUAAUUAUGUCAAGUGUGUCUGAUCUUUCUUUAUUGACCUUAUUAUUCUUUUUUUUUUUUUUUUUUGAACGGUACCUUAUUAUAUUCAACUUAGUUUUCAUGACAAUAUAAAAACUUUAAAGUUAAUAACUAUUUACUAAAACAGUUAAUAUUAUCGAACAUGUCUUAAAAAAAGAAUAAAAUUAAUAUUCUUACCAACUAUACACUUAAAAUGUAAUUGUGGAUACAAAAUCAGUUAUCCAGUUUGAAACAAUUAAAUAAAAUACCAUUGAAAAAAUAUUAAUUAUUAAAAAUUGAUAAACAGUAAUUUAAGCAAUUUUAAUUUAUUUUUUGAAUUGAAGUAGUUUAAUGAUGUUUUGAUCCUUAUGCAAUUACAUCAAAUACAGAAAAUGUUGACUAUGGAUGGAAGCAGGGAAUACCCUUGAAUUUUGAACUAUAUUUAUAUCCUUAAACGAGGUAGGAUAUCCGCAAAUUUCAAUUAUCUAAAUUCGAACUUAUUUAAAAUGCAUUCUUUACUAAUAAAUGGGUAGGAUAUCCGUGGAUAUCUAUGGCGAAAACCGUUUAUUAUAGCAGAAAAUGGAUAACGAGUAUCCAAAGUCUUUAUUCUAUUUAUAUUUGUUGUGAAUAGUAAUUUUAUUAUGCGUAUUCAUCUCAAACUCAUUUAUAAUUAUCCGUAACUUUAUUAAAUGAUCGAAACGGAAUGAUUAUCCUAAAAUAUGGAUCGGUUAUCCUAAAAUAUCUGUCUGACUUUCAUUCCUAAUGUUUGACAAAGGAAAUUAGGAUUGUUGAUAAUAAAUUUGAUUAACAUAAAUCUUUGGAAUGUUUGUUUAUUUUUUAAACUUUGGUCAAAAUUAAAAAAGUAAUUUUAAAAUGGAUGGGAAGCAAAAGCGGACCGACUGGAGCGAGGAGGAUACAUUUUUUGAGAAAGCAACGGCGUGCAGGCAGCGUUCAUUUUUCACCUUUUUAGCUGUUUUAGUUUAGAAUCUCGCGCUAGCUUCUUUUUUUAUUUUAUUAUUAUCUAAUUGGAAUAUGAAAUUCUAUGUUGCGUAUUUAUGCAUUCUUGUGCUGAAUAAAGCUAUCCUGACCUUAGCUUAGGAACAGAGGUGAGCUCUUCUCAUAGAACCUAAUAAAUUUCAACAUAGAAAUGCCUACUUUUUAUUAUUUUGAAAAAUGAAGUCCCUUCUCUUCCACUUAAAUUAAAAUCUACAAUAAUCCCUCCAUUUUAUUAAAGGUAACAUAAUUUUAAAAAAAUAAACAAAUCAAAAUUACCAUUUAUCAAUUAUCUAAAUAAUAUUUCUCAAAAAAAAUCUAAAAUAAUUAAUGAAUGCUUACUUAGUCAGGAUACAAGAUAUAAAAAUAAAAAAAAUAAAAUUUCCUUAAUUUUUUGAGUGACAGAUAACAUAAUUCUGUAUCUUUUAAUUAAAGAGAAUAUAAAAAUUAAUUAGUCAAUUUGCAGAUUUUUUUUGGUAAUAUGUAAAUGAUUAUUUUUGUCGAAUAAAAAAUUGUCUCACCAAAGAGGAAAUUCUUAUAUAAUAUGAAAAACUAAUUAAAAAAUAGAAAUUUUAAUUAAAUAUUAAAAAAAAAAGAAAGAAAAGAAGGCAAAACAACUAUCAGUAAGUUUAAGGGAUGAAAAGUUGGAUCCUUUAAGCAAAUUUCAUGGUUUGAAUCCUAACACUGUGAAUAAAAAAAAAAAAAAAAAAACUAUAUUAGGUAAAUCGCUUUCAUAAUGGACCGCCGCUCACCGGACGUUUUACCUGAAAACAAAAGAAAAUAAAGAUGGCGGAAGAGGAUGCUUUGCGUUAGGAUUUAGGAGCAAAAGUAGAGUGAGACUGAGGCUGGGUGAUUGGCUAAUCCUAUUGCCAUAGUGCCAUUCCUCGGGAAAAUCAAGAAUCGUGCUCCCGUAUUCUUUGAUAUAAGAGAAUUCUUUUAGUAGAUCAUAAUAAUAAAGAUAAUUAAUUAUUUGGUCCCUCAUGCUUGGUCUUAAUUAUAGUUUCCCCCCUUCUAUUUGAUAAAUAUAAUUAUUUGUCCUUAAGAUAUAGUCUCUUUAAAUUAUUUAGUCUUUUCGUUUAAAAACUAUUUAUUAAGGAUUAACGUAAUUCACAUUAAAUAUGGUGUUCCUGUUUAUUAUCUCAUAUUUAUUAUUGAAUUAAUAAUUAAUAUAUUAUUUAAUGUCAAAAAUGACAAUUAUCAAAUAAAAUGAAAUUUCAUGAACUAAUUAAUUUGUAUAUAAUAAUGAUAAUAAUAAUUAAUAAAUUUACUUAUAUACACGCACAUGUACACACGUAUAUAACUAUCUAUCUAUUACUCAUACUAGAUCAACCUCCUGCUCCUACACAUUUCUUUACAUGUCUAUAUAUAAUGUUUUCAACGUGUAAUAUCCUUUAUUUAUAUUAUCUAUACUUUUCAUAAAAAGAAAGAGAUGCUAGAUCUUGAACAUCUUGUUGUAAUUUAAAUUAUUUUCUUCUUUUAAGAAAGUGUUCUAUGAAUAUUACUUACCUAUAAUUAUAUUUAUGAUUGGGAAGGAGAAGGAAAAUAUUAAAAGUUGUUUACUUGUAAAAGUUCGUUGGAGUACUUGUUUAUAAAAAAUUUUCUAAAAAUUUGAAAAAUAGAGUUCUGUAUUCAAAUUAGUUAUGAAAUUGAAAAAUAGUUUUACAAUUUUUCAAAACUUAACUAAGAUUUGAACAAUAAUUUUUAAAUUAUUUUUCAUAGUUUUCUUGUGUAACAAAAUCAUGUUUCCUUACUAUUUUCCAUUUAAAAAAUGAUGUUUUCAUAAUUAAAGUUAUAAUAUCUAUAACUUUUCUACAAAAUAUUUUUAUGAAAAAAUAAAAAUAUUUAAAUAACUUAAUUAAAUAUUUUUAUUUUUUUAAUUAUAUAUUAUCUUUUAUUAUAUAAUUAAUUUUAUUAUUACAAAAAUAUAUUUUACUUAUAUUCUUUAUGUUUAAAAAAAUUUUAAAUUACGUUUCAUCCACAUUAAAUCAAGUAUAAAUUUGUCACGACCCAUUUCCAUGGACCGGACCGGCCCUAGGACCUGGGUGGGCUUAAGGCCCCCGAAGCCCGUAGUAAGCCUAACUUAUUUAAAUCUCACCUUCUAUUCAUAAUUAUAGAUUCAGGCCCAUUAACUCAAAAUGCAGUUCAUAUAUUUAAUAUGGACUUUUACUAUUUAUUUACAACCCAACUGGAAUACAAUUGCGGAACUCUACCUUUAUAUUUACAUCGUUAUUUCUAUCAUUAAAAGUCUUCUACAAUAAGUGUCUCAACUCCACAAGGCUUUUAUUUCUUUCUAUUACCUGAAAAAAAAAUAGUAGGCAGGGGUGAGCGCCAAACUCAAUGAGUAGGGUUAGAUAACCCUCUCACCCCACACAAUCACACAGAAGCUAAAUAUUUUUAUCUAGUUACCGUUUAAUUAUAUGAUCAUGCAGUUUGUCACACAAAUGGCAAUACAGCAGCAAUCACAAGUAUCAUCACCUUCAUAUAAUCACAUCACGUGGAAAUUAGUCAGUGGCACCACCUGAAACCCCAACGAGCCGUCCUCACACAUGGCUCGCCCUCUCAUACAUGUGCACC
Molecule: long non-coding RNA, 28598 nt
Filed under: Jatropha curcas
Lineage: Eukaryota; Viridiplantae; Streptophyta; Magnoliopsida; Malpighiales; Euphorbiaceae
Description: long non-coding RNA (JCUR_LNC001477)
Source: RNAcentral